RNAcentral lists this ribosomal RNA (253 nucleotides) under uncultured bacterium. Its description in RNAcentral is "partial 16S ribosomal RNA". It matches the Rfam family "Bacterial small subunit ribosomal RNA", at positions 524 to 776 of the family's 1533-position model. The record is from RNAcentral.
UACGUAGGGUGCGAGCGUUAAUCGGAAUUACUGGGCGUAAAGCGUGCGCAGGCGGUUCGUUGUGUCGGUGGUGAAAGCCCCGGGCUUAACCUGGGAAUGGCCAUGGAAACUGGCGAACUGGAGUGUGGCAGAGGGGGGUGGAAUUCCGCGUGUAGCAGUGAAAUGCGUAGAGAUCGACCGGAACACCGGUGGCGAAGGCGGGUCUCUGGACAGUUCCUGACGCUCAGGCACGAAAGCCAGGGGAGCAAACGGG